CUGCCAAGGAGGAGUCCCACAAUAGGACGAAACGGCCGUCAUGCAG
Molecule: non-coding RNA, 46 nt
Organism: Schistosoma mansoni
Lineage: Eukaryota; Metazoa; Platyhelminthes; Trematoda; Strigeidida; Schistosomatidae
Source: Rfam